RNAcentral lists this ribosomal RNA (322 nucleotides) under uncultured eukaryote. RNAcentral's name for it is "partial 18S ribosomal RNA". It matches the Rfam family "Eukaryotic small subunit ribosomal RNA", at positions 1470 to 1796 of the family's 1831-position model. The record is from RNAcentral.
CCCUUAGAUGUUCUGGGCCGCACGCGUGCUACACUGAGUGGAUCAGCGGGUCAGGUUACGCGAGAGCGUUUCCUAAUCUUCAAAUCCGCUCGUGAUGGGGAUUGACGGUUGCAAUUUUCUGUCAUGAACGAGGAAUACCUUGUAAGCGCGGGUCAUCAUCCCGCGCUGAAUACGUCCCUGCCCUUUGUACACACCGCCCGUCGCUCCUACCGAUUGAGUGGUCCGGUGAGGCUUUGGGAUCUGAGCGGAAAGAGCGUUUCGCUGUUUCUGCUCGGAAAACUCAGUCGAACCUUAUCAUUUAGAGGAAGGAGAAGUCGUAACA